This is a long non-coding RNA of Cucumis melo (muskmelon), 419 nucleotides long. RefSeq lists it as uncharacterized. The transcript has 2 exons. The record is from RefSeq and is a predicted model, not a curated record. Lineage: Eukaryota; Viridiplantae; Streptophyta; Magnoliopsida; Cucurbitales; Cucurbitaceae.
AUGUAGAAGAAAAAUUUGGAAAAAAGACUUGCUCAAAGACCUGUAGCUGUUAAGACUGCUACAAUUACUGCUAGAGGUAAAGAUAUUGCUUAUCAACAAGCAGUGAGAAAGAGCAUGAGGAGAGGAAAUUUACCUUCUAGGAUAUUGAAAUCGUCAUUCACAACGAAAUUUGGUUCGACAAGGCCAAAGAAGAAAAAAAUACAGUUGAAUAGUCAAGGAUUUGAAUCACCAAGUUUUAAAUUGCUCUCUCAAGGACGGUAGAACAUUGUGUUUGCUAAUAACUAAAAAAAAAAUAAAGAACAACUUUUGAGAUUUGGAUUUGAAGGAACAACUUUGAAAUUUAGAAUCUAGCAAUUUGGAUUAUGUUAUUUGCAGGAAAAUUUGGACGGUAGUAAUAUGAUAAUAGACUUUUUGACUGA